This 507-nucleotide ribosomal RNA is filed under the name uncultured bacterium. RNAcentral's name for it is "partial 16S ribosomal RNA". It matches the Rfam family "Bacterial small subunit ribosomal RNA", at positions 28 to 506 of the family's 1533-position model. The record is from RNAcentral.
GACGAACGCUGGCGGCGUGCCUAAUACAUGCAAGUCGAACGCUUCUUUCCUCCCGAGUGCUUGCACUCAAUUGGAAAGAGGAGUGGCGGACGGGUGAGUAACACGUGGGUAACCUACCCAUCAGAGGGGGAUAACACUUGGAAACAGGUGCUAAUACCGCAUAACAGUUUAUGCCGCAUGGCAUAAGAGUGAAAGGCGCUUUCGGGUGUCGCUGAUGGAUGGACCCGCGGUGCAUUAGCUAGUUGGUGAGGUAACGGCUCACCAAGGCCACGAGGCAUAGCCGACCUGAGAGGGGGAUCGGCCACACUGGGACGGGGACACGGCCCAGACUCCUACGGGAGGCAGCAGUAGGGAAUCUUCGGCAAUGGACGAAAGUCUGACCGAGCAACGCCGCGUGAGUGAAGAAGGUUUUCGGAUCGUAAAACUCUGUUGUUAGAGAAGAACAAGGACGUUAGUAACUGAACGUCCCCUGACGGUAUCUAACAAGAAAGACACGGCUAACUACGU